Long non-coding RNA from Bos taurus (domestic cattle), 349 nucleotides. The record is from Ensembl. NCBI's taxonomy places the organism in Eukaryota, Metazoa, Chordata, Mammalia, Artiodactyla, Bovidae.
ACUCAGCAGAGACCAGACCUGCCCCUCAUCUUCCAGCUCAGCGUCUGGUGUGUUUUCACAGCACCUCAGCAGGACAACAAAAGACUGAGACUGCCAGCACCAAGGUCAUCACAGAGCACAGAGCUGAGCUCCCUGUGCAGGACAGCAGCUUCCCACAUGGUGGACACCUGAACAUUUGCCCGAGAUCCUGAAGGAAAAGAGAGAUCAUGAAAGGACAAAGCAAACUUCAUCACCAGCUCCUUUAUGAUGGUCUCUGGUGGUAGACAUGACAACAUGGAGAACGUGCCUACAUCAGACGGUCCCCAGAGCCCAGAACCCCAGCAGGAGGACCACAACCACAGCCAGGGGC